This is a long non-coding RNA of Mangifera indica (mango), 624 nucleotides long. RefSeq lists it as uncharacterized. NCBI's taxonomy places the organism in Eukaryota, Viridiplantae, Streptophyta, Magnoliopsida, Sapindales, Anacardiaceae. The record is from RefSeq and is a predicted model, not a curated record. The transcript is spliced from 2 exons.
AGUCAUAGGUAAUCCGAUUAAAAAUGGGUAAUCUGUUUAAAAAUGGGUAUGAACUUGUAAUUUUAAAUUCAUAGUUAUUCGGACCCAUAUAUACCGGUAAUGGAUUUUUGUGAACGGGUUAAAUAUGCGGACGGGUUCAAGUUCGUCUGAUGGACUAAGUAGCAGUGGACCUGGACGUUUCUGCUUCGAGUCGGCAACUGGUAUAUCCGAAGCUGAAUGAAGGAAAUUAUCGAGAUUGGCGAGCACAAGUUCUGUUCGCAGUCGAAGCCUAUGGUUUGGAGGGACAUCUCACAGCUGAAAUGGAGACUUUUAAUUAGCUUUGCAACCACGACGACAGUUUCUUCAAACAAGCACUAUACAAAGGAAGGAGGACUGGAGAAGCAUCAAUUGCAGUAUUUUCAUCUCUUUUCUUUCUUUCUCUCCUAGACAAUAAACUGUUUUUGGUAAAUUUCUCAAUGCCUAUGAUUGUUGUGAUGUUUGAUUGAUUAACGAUGGGAUGAAGGAUGUUAGAUAAGAACCGGAUACAGACUGCAUUUUUGUCUGAUGAUGAGUUUCGUGUAUAGAUAUGGGAAUUAGAAGAUAUUUCAGUAUUCACUCUGAUUUAAUAAAUAUGGGAAUUAAUUG